This 492-nucleotide ribosomal RNA is filed under the name uncultured bacterium. RNAcentral's name for it is "partial 16S ribosomal RNA". It matches the Rfam family "Bacterial small subunit ribosomal RNA", at positions 29 to 507 of the family's 1533-position model. The record is from RNAcentral.
AGUGAACGCUGGCGGUAGGCCUAACACAUGCAAGUCGAACGGCAGCACAGUAAGAGCUUGCUCUUACGGGUGGCGAGUGGCGGACGGGUGAGGAAUACAUCGGAAUCUACUUUUUCGUGGGGGAUAACGUAGGGAAACUUACGCUAAUACCGCAUACGACCUACGGGUGAAAGCAGGGGAUCUUCGGACCUUGCGCGAUUGAAUGAGCCGAUGUCGGAUUAGCUAGUUGGCGGGGUAAAGGCCCACCAAGGCGACGAUCCGUAGCUGGUCUGAGAGGAUGAUCAGCCACACUGGAACUGAGACACGGUCCAGACUCCUACGGGAGGCAGCAGUGGGGAAUAUUGGACGAAGGGCGCAAGCCUGAUCCAGCCAUACCGCGUGAGUGAAGAAGGCCUUCGGGUUGUAAAGCCCUUUUGUUGGGAAAGAAAAGCAGCAGGUUAAUACCCCGCUGUUCUGACGGUACCCAAAGAAUAAGCACCGGCUAACUUCGUG